GAGGCUGUAGCUCAGUCGGUAGAGCAACGGACUUUUAAUCCGUAGGUCUUGGGUUCGAGCCCCAACAGCCUCA
RNAcentral lists this transfer RNA (73 nucleotides) under Planctomycetia bacterium. Its description in RNAcentral is "tRNA-Lys". It matches the Rfam family "tRNA". Rfam says of the family: Transfer RNA (tRNA) molecules are approximately 80 nucleotides in length. Their secondary structure includes four short double-helical elements and three loops (D, anti-codon, and T loops). Lineage: Bacteria; Pseudomonadati; Planctomycetota; Planctomycetia. RNAcentral also lists the same sequence under 2 other names. The record is from RNAcentral.